This 74-nucleotide transfer RNA is filed under the name Chloroflexota bacterium. Its description in RNAcentral is "Chloroflexi bacterium (bioreactor metagenome) tRNA-Met". It matches the Rfam family "tRNA". From Rfam's summary of the family: Transfer RNA (tRNA) molecules are approximately 80 nucleotides in length. Their secondary structure includes four short double-helical elements and three loops (D, anti-codon, and T loops). The record is from RNAcentral. Lineage: Bacteria; Bacillati; Chloroflexota. RNAcentral also lists the same sequence under 1 other name.
GGCGACGUAGCUCAGUUGGUUAGAGCGGGCGACUCAUAACCGCCAGGUCACAGGUUCAAGUCCUGUCGUCGCCA